UGGCUCAGAGGGUAAAGCGUCUGCCUGCAAGGCGGGAGACCCAGGUUCAAUCCCUGG
Molecule: transfer RNA, 57 nt
Organism: Ovis aries (sheep)
Lineage: Eukaryota; Metazoa; Chordata; Mammalia; Artiodactyla; Bovidae
Rfam family: tRNA
About the family: Transfer RNA (tRNA) molecules are approximately 80 nucleotides in length. Their secondary structure includes four short double-helical elements and three loops (D, anti-codon, and T loops).
Source: Rfam